CGCGGCUCGAGCUCCUCACACAUGCGUGUUUACUUCCGGUUUCCUUUCAGCGCAUGCGCAUCCUCAGAGAGCAGAGAAGAGGUCUCACUCUGACUGAGGUUCUGCAUCCUUUUAUAUCUUAUUAGCUCAUGAUGAGGACUUCUACUGCUGAGUUUAGUUGAACUGUUGUACUUUAACUUCACACGGUUACAUUUACUCACAAACAUUCAAAUAUAUAAAGUUUUUUAUUCAAAGUUCAGUUUGUGUUCUUUACAAAGUAAAAUCUGCUCUUCAGAUGUUUUCAGAGAAACAGAUAGAGUAAAGUCCUCCAGUAGUUUAUAAAACCCUCUCCGUCUGUUGAUCCAGAUGAAAUAAAAACCCACUCUGAUGUUUGUUAGAUAGAUUUAAAAAU
Molecule: long non-coding RNA, 391 nt
Organism: Sebastes umbrosus (honeycomb rockfish)
Lineage: Eukaryota; Metazoa; Chordata; Actinopteri; Perciformes; Sebastidae
Exons: 2
Source: RefSeq, a predicted model, not a curated record